RNAcentral lists this ribosomal RNA (344 nucleotides) under uncultured bacterium. RNAcentral's name for it is "bacterial SSU rRNA". It matches the Rfam family "Bacterial small subunit ribosomal RNA", at positions 28 to 334 of the family's 1533-position model. The record is from RNAcentral.
GAUGAACGCCGGCGGUGUGCCUAAUACAUGCAAGUCGUACGCACUGGCCCAACUGAUUGAUGGUGCUUGCACCUGAUUGACGAUGGAUCACCAGUGAGUGGCGGACGGGUGAGUAACACGUAGGUAACCUGCCCCGGAGCGGGGGAUAACAUUUGGAAACAGAUGCUAAUACCGCAUAACAACAAAAGCCGACAUGGCUUUUGUUUGAAAGAUGGCUUUGGCUAUCACUCUGGGAUGGACCUGCGGUGCAUUAGCUAGUUGGUAAGGUAACGGCUUACCAAGGCGAUGAUGCAUAGCCGAGUUGAGAGACUGAUCGGCCACAAUGGAACUGAGACACGGUCCAU